AAGUCGUAACAAGGUUUCCGUAGGUGAACCUGCGGAAGGAUCAUUAUUUGAAAUAAACCUGAUGGGUUGUUGCUGUUCUCUAGGGAGCAUGUGCACGCCUUGUCAUCUUUAUAUUCCCCUGUGCACUUUUUGUAAACCUUUAGGUCUAUGUUGCUUCAUUUACCCCAAUGUAUGUUAAUAGAAUGUUGUGCCUAUAAAUAUAUCAA
This 206-nucleotide unclassified non-coding RNA is filed under the name plant metagenome. Its description in RNAcentral is "partial contains small subunit ribosomal RNA and internal transcribed spacer 1". The stretch from base 1 to 46 matches the Rfam family "Eukaryotic small subunit ribosomal RNA", at positions 1786 to 1831 of the family's 1831-position model. The record is from RNAcentral.